This is a long non-coding RNA of Rosa chinensis, 1079 nucleotides long. RefSeq lists it as uncharacterized. The transcript has 3 exons. Lineage: Eukaryota; Viridiplantae; Streptophyta; Magnoliopsida; Rosales; Rosaceae. The record is from RefSeq and is a predicted model, not a curated record.
UCCCAUUUUUGCUGAACAGUCCCCGAAGCUCUCUCUUCUCCCUCCUCUCCAUCGUGAUUUUCUUCUUUCUCUGGGCUCUCCUUUGUCCGGCCAUAUCUCCCUCCACAGACCUCUGAUCGACUUGAUUCCAAAAGAAAUUUCAUUCGCCUUGAAGUCAGUUAAAACUUCCUAGAAGACAUCAAGGUGAGAAAAGAACCGUGGAACGCGCUAGGAGGCCGAGAAGCUGCACAGCUCGAGCUGGAAUUCACCGAUGCUGCUCUUCCUUAACCGGCCGAUAUCUCUCUCAUCCGACCUCGAAUCGAGUUGAUUCCAAAAGGGAUUUUUCUGGGAUUGAGCUAUAUUACAACUUUGUGGAAGACAUCGAGGGGAAAUAACCAACGUGGUAGCAGCUACAAGUCGAAGAACACGGUGCAGUCGAGCUGGAAAUCACCUCUUUUCCCCACCAUCGUUCUCCCUCCUCCGGCCACCUUUUACCGUGAUUCUUGAGGGGAUUCUUCACUUCUGAGGAUGUAGAUCAUUUUCCCUAAGGUGGAUUGCAUCGAUUUCAUCUGUGGAGAUCGAAUUGGAACGAAUUCAAAACUAGGGUUCAUCGGAUCCGUUGGCUUCUAAGGUGGGUGACGGUUUGAGUUGACGAGCGUUUGGAAUAUCGUUAUAUUUGACUUUUUAGAAGACGCAGCUGGAUUAGAGGGAACUCUUCAUUUGAUUCUGGUUGCUAACACCCUUCUCAACUGCAUUGCGUUUAUUAUCACCAACAACCGCUGCAAAUGAAGGUGGAGAUUGAUCGGAGUCAGAAAGGACAGCUAAUUGUAGCUGUGAUUUCACUCCUGACCAUAAAAGUUGCAGAGAUAGUGAUUCAAUCAGUUACUAGAACAAAUUGAUUAGUUAGCUUAAAUUCUUUUGUGAUAAAGUUGGAUGUUUCUGUUGGGAAAUUUAAAAUUCUUGUUAAAUUGAUUGUCUUAUCCCGAUUUAUGGAGAUUGUUAUUAAUACUGGAAUGAAAUAUACCACUGGGAUUACUGUAUAUGUAUUAUUUACUCAGGUGUUUAGUACUGGAAUUGUGAAGACUUCUGCUACAGGCCAA